GACGAACGCUGGCGGCGUGCUUAACACAUGCAAGUCGAACGGAAAGGCCCUGCUUUUGUGGGGUGCUCGAGUGGCGAACGGGUGAGUAACACGUGAGUAACCUGCCCUUGACUUUGUGAUAACUUCAGGAGACUGGGGCUAAUACCGGAUAGGAUCUCCUGCUGCAUGGUGGGGGUUGGAAAGUUUCGGCGGUUGGGGCUGGACUCGCGGCUUAUCAGCUUGUUGGUGGGGUAGUGGCUUACCAAGGCUUUGACGGGUAGCCGGCCUGAGAGGGUGACCGGCGACCUUGGGACUGAGAUACGGAGCAGAAUCCUACGGGACGCAGCAGGGGGGAACCUUGCAGAAUGGGCGGAAGCCUGAUGCAGCAACGCCGCGUGCGGGAUGACGGCCUUCGGGUUGUAAACCGCUUUCGCCUGUGACGAAGCGUGAGUGACGGUAAUGGGUAAAGAAGCACCGGCUAACUACGUG
Molecule: ribosomal RNA, 468 nt
Filed under: uncultured bacterium
Lineage: Bacteria
Description: partial 16S ribosomal RNA
Rfam family: Bacterial small subunit ribosomal RNA
Source: RNAcentral